This 216-nucleotide ribosomal RNA is filed under the name Glomeromycotina sp. RNAcentral describes it as "partial small subunit ribosomal RNA". The stretch from base 40 to 216 matches the Rfam family "Eukaryotic small subunit ribosomal RNA", at positions 686 to 864 of the family's 1831-position model. The record is from RNAcentral. Lineage: Eukaryota; Fungi; Glomeromycota.
GGGUCAGUAGGUCGGUCGUGCCACCGGUACGUACUGGUCUCACUGAUUCCUCCUUCCUGAAGAACCGUAAUGCCAUUAAUUUGGUGUUGCGGGGAAACAGGACUGUUACUUUGAAGAAAUUAGAGUGUUUGAAGCAAGCUAACGCUUGAAUACAUUAGCAUGGAAUAAUGAAAUAGGACGAUCGAUCCUAUUUUGUUGGUUUCUAGGAUUGACGUA